CGCGGGGCUGGGGCGCGGCGCCCAGUCUGGCUGGACAACGCUCCCGGGGAGAGACUCUCCACGCCAGGAGCCCCGCAGGGCGCUGCUCAUCAGAAUUGCUGGGAUGUAUCAGAAAUGCCCUCUCCCCAAGAUUCACCCCAAGGAGGGUGGUGCGGCGCUUGUUUCUCUCCUCUACUACUUCCGCCGGUUCUUGUCUCUUGCUAGCUCCAAAGAUUGAAGUUGGAGCAAAGGGGAACAAUAUUUCUGCGAAGAUGAAAGUCAAACCAGGAGCGGGGAGCUUGAGCUGGGUGGUGUGUUGGGCGCACAUUCCCGAAGGAUCCUGGGGAGAACCUAAAGAUUGGGCGAGCCUUCUUUCUCUCCCCACGCUCCCGCCCGCCCCUUGUGUUCCAGAGAGUUCAGAAAGUUGGGGGGAAACGCGCUGGGCUGAAAAGCGGCCGCUCACGUCCACGGUUCUAUUCAGAAAACAGUUUCAAAAUAAGUUAACCUCUGUAGGGUGUUUUUUCCCCCUUCCCUUCUAAUUGUCCCCCUUUCCCCCGCCCUGUCUCCAUUCGAGUCUGUUUUAUGUUCUUCUGCGUUGUGCCAACUAUUUUAUCUUUAUUCCUUCUCUUUCUCUGCGGCCAUUCAUUCCUUUUUGUGUGUGUGGCUUCUCCGGCUGAUGUGCGGCUGGUUACCACCCACUGCACGCUCGCUCCUGUAGCUGAGGUGUUUCUAUACAAACUCGAGCGUCCAGUUGUCAUAUUAAUUAUUACACUGAGUAAUGACAGAAAUGGUCAAAAUAAGGGGAGACUCGAGAGCGCUUUUUCUUGCUGCUCAAAGAUUCAGCAAAGAAGCCGUGCAACAAAGCACUAAUUGGUCCCCAGAAACACUCCGACAAGGCAUGGAAGAUAGGUUUCAUAGAACCCUGCGAUUGUGAAGGGGGAAAAGCUCUGAAUGGACCCCACGCUUCCUUUCUAAACUCUCUUGCUGAGCAAAAAAUGGACCUCUGUUUGAAUACUGCCCUGAUCCUUGAAUACUAUACCCAGCAGAGAAAAAAAUGCACCAUUUAUUCUUUUUUUCUUUUCUUUUUAAGGCGUAUUGAAAGAGCAAAUAGAUUUGUUAGAAGCCUGGAUUCCUUGAUGCAGGUGCGGGCCCGGCCGCUCUGACCAAGAAGCCGAGCCAAGUCAGUGGUUUGUGCUAUUCUGCCCACUGAACAGUCCAUCCCAGGCCCGACCCAGUUCAGAGUGGGCAGCAGCGGCUUCUGAAGUUACCUUGGGAGGGUGUGCUUGGAGACUGUAGAUUAUGCAGUUGUGGACUUUUCAUUUCCCUGGGGAGGACAGUGUCAAGCACAGGCUUAGAGCCGCAUACACCAGGCAUAGAGGCCCUGUGUUAUAGCACUGGAAACCGAGGAUCUGCUAUGAAUGCCCUGCACACCCACUUUUCUCAAAGUAUCCAUGGCUUCUGGGGCUUGGUGCUCAAUAAAAUCAAGGAUUGCGC
Molecule: long non-coding RNA, 1473 nt
Filed under: Equus asinus (donkey)
Lineage: Eukaryota; Metazoa; Chordata; Mammalia; Perissodactyla; Equidae
Description: lncRNA (ENSEASG00005034524.1)
Source: RNAcentral